RNAcentral lists this ribosomal RNA (462 nucleotides) under uncultured bacterium. Its description in RNAcentral is "bacterial SSU rRNA". It matches the Rfam family "Bacterial small subunit ribosomal RNA", at positions 28 to 507 of the family's 1533-position model. The record is from RNAcentral.
GAUGAACGCUGGCGGCGUGCCUAAUACAUGCAAGUCGAACGGAGCUAAACAGCAAUGGAUAGCUUAGUGGCGAACGGGUGAGAAACGCGUUGGUGACCUGCCCUAAAGCGGGGGAUAACAGAUCGAAAGGUUUGCUAAUACCGCGUAAUGUGAUCGAGGUUAGGUGCUUGAUCAAGGAAGCUGAGAAGCGCUUUAGGAGGGACCUGCGUCCCAUCAGCUAGUUGGUGAGGUAGAGGCUCACCAAGGCGAUGACGGGUAGGGGACCUGAGAGGGUGACCCCCCACAAUGGAACUGAAACACGGUCCAUACACCUACGGGUGGCAGCAGUAGGGGAUAUUGGGAAUGGGCGGAAGCCUGACCCAGCAACGCCGCGUGAACGAUGAAGGCCUUCGGGUUGUAAAGUUCUUUUGACUGGGAAGAGAGGGGACGGUACCAGUCGAAUAAGUCUCGGCUAACUACGUG